This 72-nucleotide transfer RNA is filed under the name Camelus ferus (Wild Bactrian camel). It matches the Rfam family "tRNA". From Rfam's summary of the family: Transfer RNA (tRNA) molecules are approximately 80 nucleotides in length. Their secondary structure includes four short double-helical elements and three loops (D, anti-codon, and T loops). The record is from Rfam by way of RNAcentral. Lineage: Eukaryota; Metazoa; Chordata; Mammalia; Artiodactyla; Camelidae.
GGGGGUAGAACUCAGUGGCAGAGCACGUGCUUCACAUGCACAAAGUCCUGGGUUCAAUCUUCAGUACCUCCA